Molecule: ribosomal RNA, 468 nt
Filed under: uncultured bacterium
Lineage: Bacteria
Description: partial 16S ribosomal RNA
Rfam family: Bacterial small subunit ribosomal RNA
Source: RNAcentral
GACGAACGCUGGCGGCGUGCUUAACACAUGCAAGUCGAACGGAAAGGCCCUGCUUUUGUGGGGUGCUCGAGUGGCGAACGGGUGAGUAACACGUGAGUAACCUGCCCUUGACUUUGGGAUAACUUCAGGAAACUGGGGCUAAUACCGGAUAGGAGCUCCUGCUGCAUGGUGGGGGGUGGAAAGUUUCGGCGGUUGGGGAUGGACUCGCGGCUGAUCAGCUUGUUGGUGGGGUAGUGGCUUACCAAGGCUUUGACGGGUAGCCGGCCUGAGAGGGUGACCGGCCACAUUGGGACUGAGAUACGGCCCAGACUCCUACGGGAGGCAGCAGUGGGGAAUUUUGCACAAUGGGCGGAAGCCUGAUGCAGCAACGCCGCGUGCGGGAUGACGGCCUUCGGGUUGUAAACCGCUUUCGCCUGUGACGAAGCGUGAGUGACGGUAAUGGGUAAAGAAGCACCGGCUAACUACGUG